CAGUCGCCGCGGUAAUACGCAGGGGGCUAGCGUUGCUCGGAAUUACUGGGCGUAAAGGGAGCGUAGGCGGGUCGUUUAGUCAGAGGUGAAAUCCCGGGGCUCAACCUCGGAACUGCCUUUGAUACUGGCGACCUUGAGUAUGGGAGAGGUAAGCGGAACUCCGAGUGUAGAGGUGAAAUUCGUAGAUAUUCGGAAGAACACCAGUGGCGAAGGCGGCUUACUGGCCCAUUACCGACGCUGAGGCUCGAAAGCGUGGGGAGCAAACAGGAUUAGAUACCCCCGUAGUCCCUGUCUCUUAUAC
This 301-nucleotide ribosomal RNA is filed under the name uncultured bacterium. RNAcentral describes it as "partial 16S ribosomal RNA". It matches the Rfam family "Bacterial small subunit ribosomal RNA", at positions 509 to 807 of the family's 1533-position model. The record is from RNAcentral.